CCUACGGGGGGCAGCAGUGAGGAAUAUUGGUCAAUGGGCGCAAGCCUGAACCAGCCAAGUCGCGUGAGGGAUGACGGUCCUAUGGAUUGUAAACCUCUUUUGUCGGGGAGCAAGGCCCGCCACGUGUGGCGGGAAGGAGAGUACCCGAAGAAAAAGCACCGGCUAACCCCGUGCCAGCAGCCGCGGUAAUACGGAGGAUGCGAGCGUUAUCCGGAUUGAUUGGGUUAAAAGGGUGCGUAGGCGGAAGGUUAAGUCAGCGGUAAAAUGUCGGGGCUAAACACUGGCCUGCCGUUGAAACUGGUCUUCUUGAGUGAGCGAGACGUAUGCGGAAUGCGUGGUGUAGCGGUGAAAUGCAUAGAUAGCACGCAGAACUCCGAUUGCGAAGGCAGCAUACCGGCGCUCAACUGACGCUGAGGCACGAAAGCGUGGGGAUCGAACAGGAUUAGAUACCCUGGUAGUC
This 460-nucleotide ribosomal RNA is filed under the name uncultured bacterium. RNAcentral's name for it is "partial 16S ribosomal RNA". It matches the Rfam family "Bacterial small subunit ribosomal RNA", at positions 338 to 795 of the family's 1533-position model. The record is from RNAcentral.